Molecule: ribosomal RNA, 301 nt
Filed under: uncultured bacterium
Lineage: Bacteria
Description: partial 16S ribosomal RNA
Rfam family: Bacterial small subunit ribosomal RNA
Source: RNAcentral
CAGUCGCCGCGGGAAUACGGAGGGUGCAAGCGUUAAUCGGAAUUACUGGGCGUAAAGCGCACGCAGGCGGUCUGUCAAGUCAGAUGUGAAAUCCCCGGGCUUAACCUGGGAACUGCAUUUGAAACUGGCAGGCUAGAGUCUUGUAGAGGGGGGUAGAAUUCCAGGUGUAGCGGUGAAAUGCGUAGAGAUCUGGAGGAAUACCGGUGGCGAAGGCGGCCCCCUGGACAAAGACUGACGCUCAGGUGCGAAAGCGUGGGGAGCAAACAGGAUUAGAUACCCGAGUAGUCCCUGUCUCUUAUAC